CUGCUGCCUCCCGUAGGAGUCUGGUCCGUGUCUCAGUACCAGUGUGGGGGACCUUCCUCC
Molecule: ribosomal RNA, 60 nt
Filed under: uncultured bacterium
Lineage: Bacteria
Description: partial 16S ribosomal RNA
Source: RNAcentral